This 71-nucleotide transfer RNA is filed under the name Glonium stellatum. It matches the Rfam family "tRNA". From Rfam's summary of the family: Transfer RNA (tRNA) molecules are approximately 80 nucleotides in length. The record is from Rfam by way of RNAcentral. Lineage: Eukaryota; Fungi; Ascomycota; Dothideomycetes; Gloniales; Gloniaceae.
GCCUUUAUAGCUCAACGGUAGAGCAGAAUACUGUUAAUAUUAAGAUAAAUGUUCGACUCAUUUUAAGGGCU